This 1491-nucleotide ribosomal RNA is filed under the name Cronobacter sakazakii. RNAcentral describes it as "partial 23S ribosomal RNA". It matches the Rfam family "Bacterial large subunit ribosomal RNA", at positions 1453 to 2925 of the family's 2925-position model. Lineage: Bacteria; Pseudomonadati; Pseudomonadota; Gammaproteobacteria; Enterobacterales; Enterobacteriaceae. The record is from RNAcentral.
ACUGCGAAGGGGGGACGGAGAAGGCUAUGUCGGCCGGGCGACGGUUGUCCCGGUUUAAGCGUGUAGGCUGACUUUCCAGGCAAAUCCGGAAAGUCAAGGCUGAGGCGUGAUGACGAGGCACCACGGUGCUGAAGUGACAAAUGCCCUGCUUCCAGGAAAAGCCUCUAAGCAUCAGGUAACAUCAAAUCGUACCCCAAACCGACACAGGUGGUCAGGUAGAGAAUACCAAGGCGCUUGAGAGAACUCGGGUGAAGGAACUAGGCAAAAUGGUGCCGUAACUUCGGGAGAAGGCACGCUGACAUGUAGGUGAAGCCCCUGCGGGUGGAGCUGAAGUCAGUCGAAGAUACCAGCUGGCUGCAACUGUUUAUUAAAAACACAGCACUGUGCAAACACGAAAGUGGACGUAUACGGUGUGACGCCUGCCCGGUGCCGGAAGGUUAAUUGAUGGGGUUAUCGCAAGAGAAGCUCCUGAUCGAAGCCCCGGUAAACGGCGGCCGUAACUAUAACGGUCCUAAGGUAGCGAAAUUCCUUGUCGGGUAAGUUCCGACCUGCACGAAUGGCGUAAUGAUGGCCAGGCUGUCUCCACCCGAGACUCAGUGAAAUUGAACUCGCUGUGAAGAUGCAGUGUACCCGCGGCAAGACGGAAAGACCCCGUGAACCUUUACUACAGCUUGACACUGAACAUUGAGCCUUGAUGUGUAGGAUAGGUGGGAGGCUUUGAAGCGUGGACGCCAGUCUGCGUGGAGCCGACCUUGAAAUACCACCCUUUAAUGUUUGAUGUUCUAACCUGGCGCCGUGAUCCGGCGUGGGGACAGUGUCUGGUGGGUAGUUUGACUGGGGCGGUCUCCUCCCAAAGUGUAACGGAGGAGCACGAAGGUCAGCUAAUCCUGGUCGGACAUCAGGAGGUUAGUGCAAUGGCAUAAGCUGGCUUGACUGCGAGAGUGACGGCUCGAGCAGGUGCGAAAGCAGGUCAUAGUGAUCCGGUGGUUCUGUAUGGAAGGGCCAUCGCUCAACGGAUAAAAGGUACUCCGGGGAUAACAGGCUGAUACCGCCCAAGAGUUCAUAUCGACGGCGGUGUUUGGCACCUCGAUGUCGGCUCAUCACAUCCUGGGGCUGAAGUAGGUCCCAAGGGUAUGGCUGUUCGCCAUUUAAAGUGGUACGCGAGCUGGGUUUAGAACGUCGUGAGACAGUUCGGUCCCUAUCUGCCGUGGGCGCUGGAGAAUUGAGGGGGGCUGCUCCCAGUACGAGAGGACCGGAGUGGACGCAUCACUGGUGUUCGGGUUGUCAUGCCAAUGGCACUGCCCGGUAGCUAAAUGCGGAAGAGAUAAGUGCUGAAAGCAUCUAAGCACGAAACUUGCCCCGAGAUGAGUUCUCCCUGAGACUGUAAGUCUCCUGAAGGAACGUUGAAGACGACGACGUUGAUAGGCCGGGUGUGUAAGCGCAGCGAUGCGUUGAGCUAACCGGUACUAAUGAACCGUGAGGCUUAACCUU